RNAcentral lists this ribosomal RNA (1621 nucleotides) under Enterobacter kobei. RNAcentral's name for it is "partial 23S ribosomal RNA". It matches the Rfam family "Bacterial large subunit ribosomal RNA", at positions 1220 to 2822 of the family's 2925-position model. The record is from RNAcentral. Lineage: Bacteria; Pseudomonadati; Pseudomonadota; Gammaproteobacteria; Enterobacterales; Enterobacteriaceae.
GUUGUUGGGUAGGGGAGCGUUCUGUAAGCCGUUGAAGGUGGCCUGUGAGGGUUGCUGGAGGUAUCAGAAGUGCGAAUGCUGACAUAAGUAACGAUAAAGCGGGUGAAAAGCCCGCUCGCCGGAAGACCAAGGGUUCCUGUCCAACGUUAAUCGGGGCAGGGUGAGUCGACCCCUAAGGCGAGGCCGAAAGGCGUAGUCGAUGGGAAACAGGUUAAUAUUCCUGUACUUGGUGUUACUGCGAAGGGGGGACGGAGAAGGCUAUGUUAGCCGGGCGACGGUUGUCCCGGUUUAAGCAUGUAGGCGGAGGUUCCAGGUAAAUCCGGUACCUUUUAACGCUGAGGUGUGAUGACGAGGCACUACGGUGCUGAAGUAACAAAUGCCCUGCUUCCAGGAAAAGCCUCUAAGCAUCAGGUAACACGAAAUCGUACCCCAAACCGACACAGGUGGUCAGGUAGAGAAUACCAAGGCGCUUGAGAGAACUCGGGUGAAGGAACUAGGCAAAAUGGUGCCGUAACUUCGGGAGAAGGCACGCUGAUAUGUAGGUGAAGCCCCUGCGGGUGGAGCUGAAAUCAGUCGAAGAUACCAGCUGGCUGCAACUGUUUAUUAAAAACACAGCACUGUGCAAACACGAAAGUGGACGUAUACGGUGUGACGCCUGCCCGGUGCCGGAAGGUUAAUUGAUGGGGUUAGCGGCAACGCGAAGCUCUUGAUCGAAGCCCCGGUAAACGGCGGCCGUAACUAUAACGGUCCUAAGGUAGCGAAAUUCCUUGUCGGGUAAGUUCCGACCUGCACGAAUGGCGUAAUGAUGGCCAGGCUGUCUCCACCCGAGACUCAGUGAAAUUGAACUCGCUGUGAAGAUGCAGUGUACCCGCGGCAAGACGGAAAGACCCCGUGAACCUUUACUAUAGCUUGACACUGAACACUGGUCCUUGAUGUGUAGGAUAGGUGGGAGGCUUUGAAGCGUGGACGCCAGUCUGCGUGGAGCCGACCUUGAAAUACCACCCUUUAAUGGCUGGUGUUCUAACGUAGACCCGUAAUCCGGGUUGCGGACAGUGUCUGGUGGGUAGUUUGACUGGGGCGGUCUCCUCCCAAAGAGUAACGGAGGAGCACGAAGGUUAGCUAAUCCUGGUCGGACAUCAGGAGGUUAGUGCAAUGGCAUAAGCUAGCUUGACUGCGAGAGUGACGGCUCGAGCAGGUGCGAAAGCAGGUCAUAGUGAUCCGGUGGUUCUGAAUGGAAGGGCCAUCGCUCAACGGAUAAAAGGUACUCCGGGGAUAACAGGCUGAUACCGCCCAAGAGUUCAUAUCGACGGCGGUGUUUGGCACCUCGAUGUCGGCUCAUCACAUCCUGGGGCUGAAGUAGGUCCCAAGGGUAUGGCUGUUCGCCAUUUAAAGUGGUACGCGAGCUGGGUUUAGAACGUCGUGAGACAGUUCGGUCCCUAUCUGCCGUGGGCGCUGGAGAAUUGAGGGGGGCUGCUCCUAGUACGAGAGGACCGGAGUGGACGCAUCACUGGUGUUCGGGUUGUCAUGCCAAUGGCACUGCCCGGUAGCUAAAUGCGGAAGAGAUAAGUGCUGAAAGCAUCUAAGCACGAAACUUGCCCCGAGAUGAGUUCUCCCUGAGACU